This 580-nucleotide ribosomal RNA is filed under the name uncultured bacterium. RNAcentral's name for it is "partial 16S ribosomal RNA". It matches the Rfam family "Bacterial small subunit ribosomal RNA", at positions 355 to 932 of the family's 1533-position model. The record is from RNAcentral.
UGGGGAAUUUUGGACAAUGGGCGAAAGCCUGAUCCAGCAAUGCCGCGUGUGUGAAGAAGGCCUUCGGGUUGUAAAGCACUUUUGUCCGGAAAGAAAUCCUUGGCUCUAAUACAGUCGGGGGAUGACGGUACCGGAAGAAUAAGCACCGGCUAACUACGUGCCAGCAGCCGCGGUAAUACGUAGGGUGCAAGCGUUAAUCGGAAUUACUGGGCGUAAAGCGUGCGCAGGCGGUUUGCUAAGACCGAUGUGAAAUCCCCGGGCUCAACCUGGGAACUGCAUUGGUGACUGGCAGGCUAGAGUAUGGCAGAGGGGGGUAGAAUUCCACGUGUAGCAGUGAAAUGCGUAGAGAUGUGGAGGAAUACCGAUGGCGAAGGCAGCCCCCUGGGCCAAUACUGACGCUCAUGCACGAAAGCGUGGGGAGCAAACAGGAUUAGAUACCCUGGUAGUCCACGCCCUAAACGAUGUCAACUAGUUGUUGGGGAUUCAUUUCCUUAGUAACGUAGCUAACCGUGAAGUUGACCGCCUGGGGAGUACGGUCGCAAGAUUCAAAACUCAAAUGGAAUUGACGGGGUCAUAGCUG